RNAcentral lists this small nuclear RNA (81 nucleotides) under Chinchilla lanigera (long-tailed chinchilla). Lineage: Eukaryota; Metazoa; Chordata; Mammalia; Rodentia; Chinchillidae. The record is from RNAcentral.
GUGCUUGCUUUGGUGGUGCAUGUACUAAAAUUGCCCUUGUGCAAGGAUGACAUGCAAAUUCGUGAAAUGUUCCACAUUUUU